GCUGGCGGCGUGCCUCAUACAUGCAAGUCGAACGCGAAAGUAACCUUCGGGUUGCGAUUAGAGUGGCAGACGGGUGAGUAACGCGUGGGUGACCUACCUUCGAGUGGGGGACAACCCCUGUAAUGGGGGCUAAUACCGCAUAACAUCCUGUUCUUAGAUGGACAGUGAUCAAAGCUGGCCAAGCUUCGGCUUGGCUAGUGCUUGUUGACGGACCCGCGUCCGAUUAGCUUGUUGGUGGGGUAAUGGCUCACCAAGGCUUCGAUCGGUAGCCGGCCUGAGAGGGCGGACGGCCACACUGGGACUGAGACACGGCCCAGACUCUUACGGGAGGCAGCAGUAGGGAAUUGUUCGCAAUGGGCGAAAGCCUGACGACGCAACGCCGCGUGGAGGAUGAAGAUCUUCGGGUUGUAAACUCCUGUCGGGAGGGAAGAAUAGCCUGUGGGUUAAUACCCCAUAGGCCUGACGGUACCUCUAGAGGAAGCCCCGGCUAACUCCGUGCCAGCAGCCGCGGUAAUACGGGGGGGGCGAGCGUUGUUCGGAUUUACUGGGCGUAAAGGGCUCGUAGGCGGUGGUCUAUGUCGGUUGUGAAAUCCCCAGGCUCAACCUGGGAACUGCAGCCGAAACUGGGUCACUAGAAGCCGGGAGAGGGAUGCGGAAUUCCAGGAGUAGCGGUGAAAUGCGUAGAUAUCUGGAGGAACACCCGCGGCGAAGGCGGCAUCCUGGACCGGUCUUGACGCUGAGGAGCGAAAGCUAGGGUAGCAAACGGGAUUAGAUACCCCGGUAGUCCUAGCCCUAAACGAUGAAUGCUUGGUGUGGCGGGUAUCGAUCCCUGCCGUGCCGGAGUUAACGCGUUAAGCAUUCCGCCUGGGGAGUACGGUCGC
Molecule: ribosomal RNA, 881 nt
Filed under: Acidobacterium sp. SCGC AAA007-N14
Lineage: Bacteria; Pseudomonadati; Acidobacteriota; Terriglobia; Terriglobales; Acidobacteriaceae
Description: SSU rRNA
Rfam family: Bacterial small subunit ribosomal RNA
Source: RNAcentral